Non-coding RNA from Podarcis muralis (Common wall lizard), 274 nucleotides. The record is from RefSeq and is a predicted model, not a curated record. NCBI's taxonomy places the organism in Eukaryota, Metazoa, Chordata, Lepidosauria, Squamata, Lacertidae.
GCCUCAAGGAAAACCACCGUCACUUCUCGGCUGGGAAGUGCUGAGCAAAGGAUUUGCACACACUUAGGACAGACGGAACGCGGCAGAAGAACAAGGGAUUCCUUCCGACCUCUUGGAAGCUUCCUGAGAGCCCAGAUGGAUGAGCAAGACUCAGCUGGCCCAGAAGCAGGAAGAGGCCAUGCCAUCAACACUGGGAGCAGUGAAGGAUUCUGGGAAAACUCUGUGCAGAAGAUCCUGGGUGAGGAGGACACCUUCAGCUCAGAUGCGCAGAGAA